Molecule: ribosomal RNA, 301 nt
Filed under: uncultured bacterium
Lineage: Bacteria
Description: partial 16S ribosomal RNA
Rfam family: Bacterial small subunit ribosomal RNA
Source: RNAcentral
CAGCAGCCGCGGUAAUACGUAGGGUGCGAGCGUUAAUCGGAAUUACUGGGCGCAAAGCGUGCGCAGGCGGUUCGUUAAGACAGAUGUGAAAUCCCCGGGCUUAACCUGGGAACUGCAUUUGUGACUGGCGAGCUAGAGUAUGGCAGAGGGGGGUGGAAUUCCACGUGCAGCAGUGAAAUGCAUAGAGAUGUGGAGGAAUACCGAUGGCGAAGGCAGCCCCCUGGGCCAAUACUGACGCUCAUGCACGAAAGCGUGGGGAGCAAACAGGAUUAGAUACCCCAGUAGUCCCUGUCUCUUAUAC